CAAUAGCGUAUAUUUAAGUUGUUGCAGUUAAAAAGCUCGUAGUCGGAUUUUGGCUGAGAACGAUCGGUCCGCCGUUAGGUGUGCACUGAUUGGUCUCAGCUUCCUGGUGAGGAGGUGUGCUUCACGGCCACUUAGUCACCGUGGUUACUUUGAAAAAAUUAGAGUGUUCAAAGCGGGCUUACGCUUGAAUAUAUUAGCAUGGAAUAACACCAUAGGACUCCUGUCCUAUUUCGUUGGUCUCGGGACGGGAGUAAUGAUUAAGAGGAACAGUUGGGGGCAUUCGUAUUUCAUUGUCAGAGGUGAAAUUCUUGGAUUUAUGAAAGACGAACUUCUGCGAAAGCAUUUGCCAAGGAUGGUUUCAUUGA
Molecule: ribosomal RNA, 365 nt
Filed under: uncultured eukaryote
Lineage: Eukaryota
Description: partial 18S ribosomal RNA
Rfam family: Eukaryotic small subunit ribosomal RNA
Source: RNAcentral